This is a non-coding RNA of Gossypium arboreum, 144 nucleotides long. NCBI's taxonomy places the organism in Eukaryota, Viridiplantae, Streptophyta, Magnoliopsida, Malvales, Malvaceae. The record is from Rfam.
UUUUCAAAAUUUCAUCUAUUUUUACUCUUAAAAUCUAGUGUAGUUAACGAAAUAACUUAAUAAUUACACAUGAUGCGCAUGUAUAUCUUAUGUUGACAUAAGUAGACCAAUUUUUAACAAUAAAAAUAAAUGAAAUGUUUAGUA